RNAcentral lists this ribosomal RNA (253 nucleotides) under uncultured bacterium. RNAcentral describes it as "partial 16S ribosomal RNA". It matches the Rfam family "Bacterial small subunit ribosomal RNA", at positions 524 to 776 of the family's 1533-position model. The record is from RNAcentral.
UACGAAGGGUGCAAGCGUUACUCGGAAUUACUGGGCGUAAAGCGUGCGUAGGUGGUUUGUUAAGUCUGAUGUGAAAGCCCUGGGCUCAACCUGGGAAUGGCAUUGGAUACUGGCGGACUCGAGUCCCGGAGAGGAAGGUGGAAUUCCUGGUGUAGCGGUGAAAUGCGUAGAUAUCAGGAGGAAUACCGGUGGCGAAGGCGGCUACCUGGACAAUUGCUGACGCUCAGGCACGAAAGCGUGGGGAGCAAAAGGG